ACCCUCCGCGCCCCCGCGCCGCCCGCCUCGCCGCCGCCCGUCGCCCCGCGCUCCCCCGCCGGCGCCCGGAGGACCCCUUCGACCCCGCGCCGCGCCGCGCCCCGCCCCGCGCGCCUCCGCCCCAAACCCUAACCCUAGCUCCGCGGGCCGCGGCCCCCGAGCUAUUGCCCGUGGCGGUUUGCGGGAAGAUAACCGUCUCGUUGCAGACGCCCUGUCUGCGUAAUUUCGCCGGCGAAUCUAGCGGUGUGUGAGCGAUGACUUCUUUGGCUUCUGCGCUACUUUGAAUACUCAGCCUGAGCCGCGUUCUAUGGGUGGAAUGAUUGAAUACGGCGUUAGUGUCAGUACCAAGUCUUCACCACGCAGUGUGGCCAUUGAAAAAGCUCAGGAGGAGCUCAGGCAGGAGUACGAUGUCCGUGAAGAACGGAGGAGGGAGCUAGAAUUUCUGGAGAAAGGUGGCAACCCAUUAGAUUUCAAGGUUGACCGUGUAGAAUCAAUCAGUGUGCAAUCCACUUCUCUCACAGCGGAACAAAAUGUGAUAAGCGAAGCUAAAGGCAGCUUUACGUUUGCUGCAUCACCUCGUGGGGAUUCAGUUGAGAGUAGUGGCAAACCAGGAAGUUCACUGUGCCGCGAAACCAACACAGCAGAUAAUCUUAUGCUUUUUGGUGGUAAUAACAAUGGCGUUGUGAAGGAGAAAGUUGUAAAGAGAGGAUCCAGAAGAGCUAAUGUAGCUCAACCCAGACAGUCUUCUGAGGGCCACAACAAUGUAAAAAGAGCUGAUGAUUCUGGUUUGUCACGCCUUGGAGUGAAGAGCCAGGCAUAUGUUCGACGCAACAGGUCAAAGCAAUGUAGGGAGAGUGCUAACGUGACUUCUGUAACAUCUCCUGUGAUUCCUGCUACAGCUUCGGAACCAAAAGAUGCAAGGGGUGUGGUCAAGGAAAAGCGAGCCGAUGAUCUUGGUGUAUCCUAUGGUUCAAAUUUAAACCAGGCAGGACCAAAGUGCGACAAUGGGCCGAAUAAAGCUUCUGACAAACAUGUUACAAUUGAGUUGAAUGGGAUUCAAGCCGUUCGCAAAGGCCACCGCAUAGUAAAGAUCGAACCAGUGGAAUAUGACGAAAUGGUGCCCAAUUAUGUGAAUCGAAAUCAGCAGCCUGAUGAACGUGGGAAGAUAGCUGAAGAAGGUGCAUCAAUAGAACCCCCUGAUGCUACUUCAAAAGCCGUUCUAAGGUCAUCUUAUUCUAGCGCAUGCACACAUGAUAAGACAGAAACAUGUGCUGCUGCUGAGAAGGCUGGCACUAAUCACCUGGAUGAAGGUAUGGCCCAAGUCCAUGUAGGUGAACUGGAUAACAGCAGUAUGAUUCCUGUCUCUGCUGUCCAAGCUGCCACUUUGCACAAAAAUGUGACAGAUCCAUGUUGUGAAGACAUUGCCAGUACUAUUGACAAUGGAGCAGAUGAUAAUAAUCCAGUUCCAAUGAAUAUUGAUGGAAAAUCACAUGAAGACCCGGACAUCAGUGGUAUUUCUAGCAAGGCUGUUAAGGAAGGUGGACAACCGGAAGGUUCUAGCAGGCCUAUUUCCGUGAUUGGAAAUUCUAGUCCUGUACCACCUGAAGUUAGUACUCGUGCCCGUGUGAAAGUUGAAAUGGAAACUUUUGAUGAUGCAAUGGUUGUACAGAAGGAUACAAGCUGCUCACAUCCAGGACAAAUUGUGAACAAUAAUGGAGGUCCAGGUUUGGAGAGGAUUGACAGUUGUCAUGGGGUUUCUAACUCCGCCCAUCCUAUCGUUAUAGGCUCUGCUCUAAAUACUUUGGUUGAUUCUACACCAUCAUUAAAAACUGAUGGGUCUAAGGCGGAGAGUGAGAUUCGAAAAAAUGGAGAGAGCGUCAAUAAGAUGACAGACAAGGAACGCGAAGAUUCUAUCCUUCGAGAAGCUCGUCUUAUAGAGGUGAGUCUCAAGAGAGCUUGUGAACGAUCUCCAUGUAAUAUAUCUUUAGAAAGGAGGAGAAAGGGUCAUUGGGAUUUUGUCCUCGAGGAGAUGGCUUGGAUGGCCAAUGAUUUCAUGCAGGAACGCCUAUGGAGAAUUACGGCUGCAUCUCAAGUGUGCCAUUGGAUUGCCUCCGAUGGUCUGGCCAAGUUUGACCAAGCAAGCAUUCUUAGAAAGCAGAAAACUGUCAGUAGAACCCUUGCAAAGGGUGUCAUAAGUUUUUGGCGUUCAGCUGAGGCUGUCCUAACUACUGGCGGAACAGCUAAAGUGAUGCAAAAAAAUGAUUCAAAUAUGCUAGGAGAGACAAAGCCUACUGGAACCAAAGCUGAGAAACAACAGGGCAAUGAAAGCUUGGAAGCGGAACAGUCUAUACAUCCUCUUCGAUCUCAUAUUCAGGAUUAUGCAGUUCGAUUUCUUGAAUAUAGCAGUCAGGCUUCUGAUUCUGCUGCGUUGACUGAAGCACCACCUACACCUGACAGGCCGAAUGACUUCGGCAUCUUGAAAGUGUCUGAUCAACUUUCACAGGGAAGUCUCUUCUACACAGUACCACCUGGUGCAAUGCUGGCAUACAGGGAGUCCAUGGAAUCUCUUUUCAUGUAUCAUAAGAAAAUUGGUAACUCUGGACUUCGUUAUGAUUAUGAGGCAUCUGCAUGUGAUUCUGCUGCAGGGUGGGCUCAGGAUAAUGUCUAUGAGGAGGAUGAAGGCGAGGCUUCUACUUAUUUGUCACAAAAGGGUCACAAGAAGAAAAACAGUAUGCAGCAGAGGAUUAAUGGUUCAAGGCCAUAUGAAACUGACGUGUCUUAUGAUCCGCGCUUGGAAAGCAAGGCAGGAAACCGGCAGUUCGUUUCAAAUGGCAAAAGACCUUCAUCUUUUGUUGGAAUUCCUACAAAGCGCAUCCGCACAGCCGCCAGACAACGAGUUGUAAGCCCAUUUCCUGCUAGUGCUGGUGGGACUCCCCAAGUCACAAGUAAAACGGAUGUUUCAAGUGGAGACACAAACUCUUACCAAGAUGAUCAAAGUCCAUUACAUGGUGGGUCCUCGGCGUGGAAAAAUAUGGAAUAUGAAUCAACAGGUGAUUUUGACAGACAUGAUGGUAGCGAAGCAUGGACUAAAGCUAACAAGAAGAAGAAACAAAAGAACCCAGGAUACAAGACUGCUCAAAAUACAGCCAAUUCACGUGCCGCUGCUGUAAAGGGCCGGAUCUACGAUCAGAGAUCGCAAGUUAAUCAAUACGAGCAGAAGGAUUAUCUGAAGAAGAGACCAGAGACCCAACAAUUUUAUUCAAAUGGAACAAUUGUUGCAAAUGGUGGUCAACAUGCUUCUAAGAAGCUUAAAACAAUGAAGCAAGGGAUAUAUAUUAAACAAGAACCUUCUCAAGUUCCAUCACAGAUGAGCAAUAUGGCGCCUGCUAAUAAAAUUAUAAAGAUCAUCACUAAUAAGGACCGUGGGAGAAAAGUGAAAGCGCUAAAGAUGCCUUCUGGUGGUGGAUGGUCAAACUUCGAGGAUCAGGCUCUUGUUGUCCUUGUCCAUGACUUGGGUCAAAAUUGGGAAUUAGUAAGUGAUGCAAUCAAUAACAUUGUGCAGUUCAAGUCUGUACAUAGACAACCUAAAGAAUGCAAAGAGCGCCAUAGGGUUCUUGUGGAUAAAAGUUCUGGUGAUGGUGCUGACAGUGCAGAAGACUCUGGUUCAUCUCAACAGUAUCAUUUCACCAUACCUGGCAUUCCACAGGGUAGUGCCAGGCAGUUGUUCCAGCGACUUCAAGGACCAUUUGAGGAAGAGAAUCUGAAGUCACAUUUUGAAAAAAUUAUGCUCCUCAUGCCAAAAGUGCUAUCCAGGCGUAGACAGGUUAAUAGCCGGGAGCUGAAGCCGAUCGUACUACCACAUAGUUCUCAUGUUGUUGCACUUACACAAGCAUGCCCGAACAACUUAUCUGGGGGCAUUUUGAUGCCACUUGAUCUUUGUGAUGUAAAUCUGAGCCUCGAUGCAGUCACACCUGGCAGCGGAAACCAGAUUUCUCAUCCAAACGGGAUGACACUGUCGAAUCAACAUGGUUCUGCUGGUCCUACUACCACUCCUCCUACUCCCAAUCCAAAUUCAAGGUUGCCAGGGUCUCCUGGUAUGGUUCUGGGCAGCAACUUUUCGCCACCUUCAGCACUGAGUGCCCCUUCUAGGGAUUCUCAGAAAUAUGGUGUUCCUAGACCGUCCUCUAUACAGGGUGAUGAGCAACAGAAGAUUCAGUAUAAUCAAAUGCUCAGUGGUAGAAAUCUUCAGCAACCUGGAGCUGUUCCUGCAACAAGUCCUGGUACUCGUAUGAUGCCUGGUGCUCAUGGUGUUGGAAUGAUGACAGGGGUAAAUCGAGGUAUGCCUGCAGUCAGGGCAGGCUUUCCAAGAGCUGGUUCCCCAGGAAUGCUGAAUAUGGCAUCGACAGGAAACAUGCCACUCAAAACUGUGCAAGGAGUGCCAAAUGCCAUGUCUCCCGCUGGAAAUUCUAUGAUGAGGCCACGCGAUCCUAUGCAGAUGCUUCGUCCUGGUCAGCAGCAUAUGGUGAGGCCGGAGCACCACAUGCAGGUUUCACAGGGAAAUAGCCAAGCUGCCCACUUCAGCAGCAUGAAUCCAUCAUUCUCCAAGGCUGCAGCUUCUUCACCUCUUCAGCAAACCCAAAGGCCACAUCAGAUGUCACAGCCACUGAACAUGCUGGGUAACCCGCAUCUUUCUCAGACCCAAGGAACCAGCCAUCCAAGCCCACAGCAGCAGCCAUAUUCUACUAUGCCUAUGCAGCUGGCUAAGGAAAGACAAUUUCAACACCGCUUGGUGUCUCAACAGCACAACAGUCUUCCUGUAGCAGGUGUGCAGAACGGACCACAGAUUCAGCAGCAGAACCAUGCAUCUCCGGUCACUUCAACCCCUUCUUCACAACCUCUGCCUCAGAAGCAGCAGUCUGCACAAAGCCCAACAGAUAGCUCUGCACUUGCCAAUCGACCUGCCAAUGCUACAGAACCUAAGCAGAAGAAACAGCAGGGUCAACAGCAGCCUAGACAGAAUCAACAACAGAGGAACCAAGCUAGUCAACAAGCUAAGCUUAUGAAGAGUCUAGGACGAGGAAACAACAUGGCGACACCUCAGACUCCUGCAGCCGACGCAACUCCACCCAGUGCUGUCCCUACAGCUUCCAAGAAACAAGUUCCUGACAGAAAUCCGAUGCAACAUGGGCAAGGGUCCUCCGCUGGUAGUAAAGCGUCAACUUCAGUUACACCUCAGCCUGGGAAUCAACAUAAGCUAUAUGCCUCGCAGCAGCCUCCAAAUAUCGGUAACCAAGGCUUGGUGCAGGGUCCUCCUAGUCACACCGUCUUUGCUGCACAACCGCCCCCACUCCAUUCCAGGUACCCGGUGACCACGCAGCAGCGUCCAAUGAAUCCAGCACAGAACAACAUCCAGAGAAUGAUGAUGCAACAAAGCCUCCAAAUGAAGCCCGACUCACAGAUGGACCAAGUCCAGCACAGCCAGGCGAUUCCAGCCACACCGACAUCUCACAGUUCAGAGGCAGGCAGUCCUGGGCUUUCAGCGCAUGACCCAGCUGCAGUUACAUCGACAUCUAAGCCGCUCAGCUCCCCCAAGGACAAUUAUGCCGGGAACGGAACUUCAGCGCCAUCGUCGUCUAGCCAAGGCAUGCUGCAGAGGCAAAUAUCAGGCGGAACACCAUCCAGCCAAGGCAUGCUGCAGAGGCAAAUUUCAGGCGGAUCAUCAUCCAGCCAAGGCAUGCUGCAGAGGCAGAUUUCGGGCGGGCUGCUGCCUGUGCAUGGACAAGAGGUGAGUGGCUCAUGGCACCACCAACAGCUGUCUAGGCCACACCUGCCUCCCCCGCAUCAUCAGCAGAGACCAGUUGCUCCAGGCAGCAUGUAUGCUCCCCCGAAUCCAGGGUCAGGGUGACGAAAUCUCUGACACUGGCUGGUCGUAUUCAUGGAGCAUCCCUUCUCUCUGAAAUCCAAAGUUACUGUACAGGUGUUGGACCGAUGGAACGGAAUGGAAGUCGUUGCUGACAGUGGUCCUGAACAAAGCUACUUUUGGUAUUUUGUUGUUAGGUGGUAGAUAAGUAAGAUGAUUUGGCAAUGCAUUGCCACCCCUCCUUUCUGAGGUUGGUCGGCUGCAGUGAGUCUAGAUAAGAGAGAUAGAUUGAUGAUGGUGGUAUGGUAGCUGGUAGCUGGUUUUGGAGGAGGAAGGAGGAGGUGCUUGUUGCGUGCGACAGCUAACUUUUGUUUUCCGUGUCUCUGUGUACAUGCUGCUGCUGCUUCUUGGUCGUAGAGCCAGUGUCUCUGACUAGUGACUGUAUAAAUUUGUUGUCGUUGUGAUCGUUUUAACUUAUAUAACAGUGGUACAACAAGUUGAUUAAAUGUGACAGUGCAUAGUUGAAAGAGUGCCCAGUUUGCAUUGGAUCUA
RNAcentral lists this ribosomal RNA (6412 nucleotides) under Triticum aestivum (bread wheat). RNAcentral describes it as "partial small subunit ribosomal RNA". Lineage: Eukaryota; Viridiplantae; Streptophyta; Magnoliopsida; Poales; Poaceae. The record is from RNAcentral.